RNAcentral lists this microRNA precursor (78 nucleotides) under Dracunculus medinensis (Guinea worm). RNAcentral's name for it is "mir-1 microRNA precursor family". It matches the Rfam family "mir-1 microRNA precursor family". Rfam says of the family: This family represents the microRNA (miRNA) mir-1 family. miRNAs are transcribed as ~70nt precursors (modelled here) and subsequently processed by the Dicer enzyme to give a ~22nt product. In this case the mature sequence comes from the 3' arm of the precursor. The record is from Rfam by way of RNAcentral. Lineage: Eukaryota; Metazoa; Nematoda; Chromadorea; Rhabditida; Dracunculidae.
UUUUUAGUGUCGUACUUCUUUGCAUAGCCAUACUGUUCCAAAUAAGCUAUGGAAUGUAAAGAAGUAUGUAACUAUUGA